AGGCAGAAUUCUUCUCCUGUGUUUUUAGGCGACGGUCUCCGGAUCAGUGGAUGUAAGGUUUUUGUGGAGAAAACAGAAGAUCAUAGAAGAUUGUGGUCUGGAUCCGCGCUGUAGGUUGUUAAUGGCUCCAAGUGCACACUGAACCAGUUCUUGGCAGAAGAAGGAGUCUAGGAUGUUCUUUCAUUUAAAGAAGAUGAAGAUGAUCCAGGAGGGCAAGGUUGAACUUUGGGGGGCGGACAGGUGGGCGAGCGCUCGUCCAGGGUGCACUUACCCACCUGUUGCUCCUCUUUCUAACGGAGCAACAAGGAGACAUUUCUGUACCACCGCUAAAAGGGAGAGUCAGCAUGGCCCCAAACUCGAAGAGAAUCCUAUGGAGAACGGUCUGGUCUACAAGGAAAGAACAGAACCAAGGGCCUCAUAGAGCUGUUGAAGCUGUUCAUCGGACACGAGAUGAAAUCAACACGCUGACGGGGUUUGAGACACACACGGAAAAUAAAAGACAAAGAAGAACCACGGAAUAUGCACGGCUGCCUGCGUUUGCUAUGGUUGUGUUGGUUUGUGCUCUUUUUUUUUUUCUCCCCUACAUCUUUCUGGUAAAAACACACACUUUCACACCCACUUUUACACACAAUACACAUGGAAUAUGACUACGGCUGCAGAAGAAGAGCGGGAAAGGUCACCGCUGGCUUCCAGAGGCUGAGCUGGGUUUCUCUGCAGUGUGUUUUCCAGAGAGGAGCGGCGCUUGGACAAAAUCCACUGGGGCAAGCAAACACACACACAAACACACAGAGAAAACGUCUUCUAACUGACGAUUCGGGAUCUUUUAAUAUGCUGAUCUGAGAAUAUGAAGGAUGGUCUCAAAAGCAGAUAGAUGCGGUCGCAAAAUGAGCCUCUGAAGGCGCCGGUUUAAUACCCAAAGGUCGUUAAUUAUAACAAUUAUUCAAGCCCAUAUCACAGACACAUAUUGACUGUUUUUUCCUUCUUUUUGGUCUCUACUUGGGUUGUCUGGUGACGCACCCCAAAAGGCUCAAUUAAAGAAUAAAGUGAGUGUUUUAAGUGUGUGUGUGUGUGUGUGUGUGUGUGUGUGUGUGCGUGUGAUUGUAGGGGAAAUGGAAAUAGAUUUUCACCUGCACUGUUUAUUAUGGGGCGCACAAUGCCUUUUUGUCCCUCUGUUGUCCAAUUACAUCAUAUUAUGUUGAAGUUGUGUCAGACAGAAUUAUGUUUUAUGACCCGGAUGGGUGUGAUACACACACACACACACACACACGCACAUAUAUAUAUAUAUAUAUAUAGACAUGUGAUGGAAAUCAAAUAAACCUGUUCCAUCUCCUCCACUCACCUGUGUGGUCAUCUGAGUGCAUGUGCACCACCGUAUGUCCCUUAAAUGUCGUAUUUGAGCUACGUUCGCCAUGUUGCAUGCCUGUCCUACGAUGUGUGUGUUCCUGAGGGCGUGUGUGUGCGUGAGUGUGUUUUUGACCUCCACUGCCCGUCUCCCUACCAUCCCUCCUGUGAGAGCCAGUGUGAUAUACGGAGCUCUAAUUGUCAGGUCUGGCCCCCACAUUCCUCGCCUCCAACAGCCGACCAACAGUGUGUCACUUUAACAACCGCAAAUUAUCACCGCGAUGGAGAUCUCGGCUUCACUGCGCCUCUAUGAGAAUAUAGAUACAUUUCCUUCAAUAAAUUACUUCCCACCAACCACCGACACUCCACACACACACCUAUAAUCUCACACAGUCGACUCAUUACCUGUCUGCUGCUGUCCUCUCUCACACUUGCCGGUCUCUGACUGACGUUUUUACCACAACAUUAUUGUGUGUGCCUCAGGAUCUGCCUAAAAGGGAAUGAGAUGAAGCUAACCCUUUGUGUCACUUUGACCAGGGUGUUUGAUUCUUAAAGAUGUGAGCUGGAACCGAACAGGGAGGGGCCGGGGAGUCUAGACACAGACAGACAGACAAACACUGUUUAAUUUGCUGAAUUCAGUUUUUAUUGACUGUAAGUUUUUUUUAUUUUUUUUUUGUUUGUUUAUUUCUUUUUUAAUCACUUGAAAUGAAAUGUAGAAAGUGUUUUUGAAGGAUCUUUUACUCAAUGGGUGUCCAGGCUUUUUGUCAUGUGGGGCCAAAAUUGUCGAGUCAAAAGUGUUGGUGGGCUGAGAAAAUGACAAGAAAAAUAAAAUCAAGUAAAUAAAGUAGUUAGAUUUUUUUAUUUUUUUUUUUUUUUGGUUUAUUUGUAGGAAACUGAUAUUAUUCAAUAUGUUUUAUUAAAAGAGAGGCAACUUGUUUUCAAAUUCUUUUGGGCUCCAUUUGAAGAAUUUUUAAAAACAGGAUUUGAGACACUUCCUUUGAAAAUGUUUGCUAUAUUUAGCCGAGUUUAAUUAAUAGUUGGCUUUCCAGUAAAAUUCUUUGGAUAGUCGUGGUUCUACUUGUUAUAAAGAUUCAGUUGUAAAAAGAUGUUUACUUUGUGUUGUGCUUUACAUACUUUACAUUUAACAAAUUUACAUCAAUAAAACUUUUACCCUGAUUAAAAAAAAUAAAGACUCUAAGUGCAUUAACCACCCAGGUGGACGAGUCAAAUCUGUAGCUUUCUUCACCUGCAGUUGGGGGCCACAAAAAAUCCGUCUAAGGGCCACAAAUGGCCUUUGAAAGCCCCUGGUUUAGAGUAUCCUUUAGCAUCUUCUGUAGCAAAUUACAUCUGAUUAUCUCUUUUAAAAAAACAGAAGUGGAAAAAGAAACUAAAGGAUGGAACAGAAAAAAUAAAAAAAAUAAAAAGAGUAAUGUCAUUAUCAGACUGAACCAUUAGAGCCCAUCCUGCCAUGUGGUUCAUUUUUAUAUCAGCACUAAACAAAAUAAUUCCAACCACCCAAUCGGAUGCAGCCUAAGUAGUUCAACAUGGCCGUGAGAAGCGGAGCAGUCAUCUUCUCCGGCGGACGGGAUGCCACGUAAGUGUUUCAGGCUGUCUCCAUAGAAGUCCCGGCCAGCUCCGCUGCAGGCUCGGCCAGAACCGGGGGUUCUCUCUAAUGAAAGGCAGACUGAAAAAGCCUCUUUGAUUGAUUUCCUACAUCUUGAUUUGAUAUCCUGAAUUAAUUAUUUGAACUUGAAUAAUAUAUAAAGGGAAAAAUAAAUGUAAAACACUCAGGGGAAAUAAGUGGAGCACUUCAGUGCUGUUGGCGCAGCUGCGUUUGAUACACUGGUUCUGUAUCUGCUUGUCAAUCUUUCCCUGGAAUACUAUGGAGUUUAUCUCCAACGGAGGAAACCUCGUGAGGAGUCAUGGCAGAUGGAGGUUUUUAUGCGAUAAUGGAAGACGGUAAAAGUACAGAACCUAAAAAAGUAUUUAUCCCUCUUUACCUUUUACACAUUUUGCCACAGCACAGAUUUCACUGUGGCUUGUUUUUCGCUGUGUCAUGCAGAAGACCAACACAAAGCGGUGUGUAGUGGUGAAGUAGGAGAAACAGGAGACGUGGGGCUCAGAGGAUUUUCAAAAUGAAAAUCUGAAAAAACUGGGAUGCAUUCAACUCCAUUCAUUCUAAUUCUCCUAAAUACAAUGGAACUAAUUUCCUUCAAAUGUCAAAAUUCACUGCUUUGAGAAAACUAACUGCUGACUGUAGGCUAACCAUCUGAACCAGGGGUCAACAACCAGUGGUUCCGGGGCCACAAGUGGCUCUGUAAUUCUUUCACAAUGUCUGUUAGUAGAGGGGGCAAAUCAAGCCAAAGUAAAUAUUACAAAGCAAGUAUUGGUAUCUAAUCGAUACUUAGGUAGUAAGAUAGUUUCUGUAGUUUCAGAUUUUCUUAUGAAAUGUUAUUUUUUUUAUGUUUGUGUUGCAGUUUCUCAGUUACUUAAAAAAAUAUUUUGCUUUCAUUUCGUCUCAGAUGAUCAUUUGAUUGCAUACAUUUGUUCUGUUGUUUCUGUUCAUCUUGUUAAUAUGUUAUUAAAGUAUUUUGUA
Long non-coding RNA from Gambusia affinis (western mosquitofish), 3937 nucleotides. RefSeq lists it as uncharacterized. NCBI's taxonomy places the organism in Eukaryota, Metazoa, Chordata, Actinopteri, Cyprinodontiformes, Poeciliidae. The record is from RefSeq and is a predicted model, not a curated record. The transcript is spliced from 5 exons.